GGCUAACGACUGGGAGGAGCAGAUGGAUUUUUGGAUGAUUUCUUCUUUACGCUAAUGUCUUCAUGGAGAAAAAGUGAGGGGAGAGAAAUACCAAAGACUGGAGUAUGAGAUGAGUCUGAACCAAACCACUGCCAGACUCUGGGGAGUUUCUCAGCUCAGGCCUCUCUGGCCCUAAUUGUCAGGUCUGGCUGAGCUGUGUUUGUUGCGGGACACUAGUGCGUAGGACAAAGGUGAUUUUCUGCCACUUUUGCAAUCUCCCAUCCCAUUACCUGAGGCUGGAAACAGCCCCAAGUGGAUGGUAGCGAAGUCUAAGAUAGCUGGAACCAAGCAGCCACCUUCACCCCUCCUCUUGCCUCCUCCAAACCACUUGCCCAGCACCCCUGUGCACUGGGGUCUGCAGGAGGGAUCCCCUACAACCAGUGAAAUAGCUGCAUUGGCCCCUUUGCUCACUGGAGUAGCACAGGACAGUGCCAACCACCUGAUCCAAUGAGUUCUCCUGUCGUGAGGAAGUAUAUUUGUCUAAAAUAAGUCAUCCAGUCUGAGAGCAUAUGGCUGAGCUUUGAAUAUGGAAAACAUAACAAGAAACCUGAUGACAAGGAUGGGAGAAGAAGCACUGAAGAGGCCUCUGAGCUAAGAGAGAAGAAAAGUAAAUGAGAGAACACAGUAACAGCUCAGCAUUAGCUCUGCCUCAUAAAAGGGUAGACUCGUUAAAAAUUUAAAGAGGUGCUGCCAACCAUCUCCCUAGCGAGGCCAUACAAGUUCGCAACAGCAGACACUGGGUUAUUAACCAAGGAUCUUCUCUUGACAUUUGAAGCCAGCACAGCUAAACUAUAUAACCUCAGACUGUCCUAACAAGCAAUCUCUAAAUAAUAAAUAUGCAACAGCAAGAGAAAGUA
Molecule: long non-coding RNA, 896 nt
Organism: Mauremys reevesii (Reeves's turtle)
Lineage: Eukaryota; Metazoa; Chordata; Testudines; Geoemydidae
Exons: 3
Source: RefSeq, a predicted model, not a curated record